GCUUAACACAUGCAAGUCGAACGGGCACCUUCGGGUGUCAGUGGCAGACGGGUGAGUAACACGUGGGAACAUACCCUUUGGUUCGGAACAACUCAGGGAAACUUGAGCUAAUACCGGAUACGCCCUUACGGGGAAAGAUUUAUUGCCGAAGGAUUGGCCCGCGUCUGAUUAGCUAGUUGGUGAGGUAACGGCUCACCAAGGCGACGAUCAGUAGCUGGUCUGAGAGGAUGAUCAGCCACACUGGGACUGAGACACGGCCCAGACUCCUACGGGAGGCAGCAGUGGGGAAUAUUGGACAAUGGGCGAAAGCCUGAUCCAGCCAUGCCGCGUGAGUGAUGAAGGCCUUAGGGUUGUAAAGCUCUUUCGACGGGGACGAUAAUGACGGUACCCGUAGAAGAAGCCCCGGCUAACUUCGUGCCAGCAGCCGCGGUAAUACGAAGGGGGCUAGCGUUGCUCGGAAUCACUGGGCGUAAAGGGCGCGUAGGCGGCCAUUCAAGUCAGAGGUGAAAGCCCAAGGCUCAACCUUGGAAUUGCCUUUGAUACUGUUUGGCUUGAGACCGGAAGAGGUAAGUGGAACUGCGAGUGUAGAGGUGAAAUUCGUAGAUAUUCGCAAGAACACCAGUGGCGAAGGCGGCUUACUGGUCCGGUUCUGACGCUGAGGCGCGA
Molecule: ribosomal RNA, 666 nt
Filed under: uncultured Alphaproteobacteria bacterium
Lineage: Bacteria; Pseudomonadati; Pseudomonadota; Alphaproteobacteria
Description: bacterial SSU rRNA
Rfam family: Bacterial small subunit ribosomal RNA
Source: RNAcentral